Molecule: ribosomal RNA, 533 nt
Filed under: unidentified archaeon
Lineage: Archaea
Description: bacterial SSU rRNA
Rfam family: Archaeal small subunit ribosomal RNA
Source: RNAcentral
UCCGGUUGAUCCUGCCAGAGGUUACUGCUAUCGGUGUUCGCCUAAGCCAUGCGAGUCAUAUGUUCUUCGUGAACAUGGCGUACUGCUCAGUAACACGUGGAUAACCUGCCCUUGGGUCCGGCAUAACCCCGGGAAACUGGGGAUAAUUCCGGAUAACGCACAUAUGCUGGAAUGCUUUAUGCGUAAAAUGGAUUCGUCUGCCCAAGGAUGGGUCUGCGGCCUAUCAGGUAGUAGUGGGUGUAAUGUACCUACUAGCCUACAACGGGUACGGGUUGUGAGAGCAAGAGCCCGGAGAUGGAUUCUGAGACAUGAAUCCAGGCCCUACGGGGCGCAGCAGGCGCGAAAACUUUACAAUGCGGGAAACCGUGAUAAGGGGACACCGAGUGCUAGCAUCAUAUGCUGGCUGUCCAGGUGUGUAAAAUACACCUGUUAGCAAGGGCCGGGCAAGACCGGUGCCAGCCGCCGCGGUAACACCGGCGGCCCGAGUGGUGAUCGUGAUUAUUGGGUCUAAAAGGGUCCGUAGCCGGUUUGGU